This 3379-nucleotide ribosomal RNA is filed under the name Parasitella parasitica. RNAcentral's name for it is "Bacterial large subunit ribosomal RNA". It matches the Rfam family "Bacterial large subunit ribosomal RNA", at positions 1 to 2579 of the family's 2925-position model. The record is from Rfam by way of RNAcentral. Lineage: Eukaryota; Fungi; Mucoromycota; Mucoromycetes; Mucorales; Mucoraceae.
ACCAAGAUGAAAAAGGGACUAUCGGGGAUGACUAGCCAAUACAUCCAAAGGAGGUAGUUUAUACCAAAAAUCGUAAUGAAUGAUUUGAUAAUUACGAUGAUCCUAAGGGAAACCAAUAUAAUAAUAACUCUACGAACUGAAACAUCUAAGUAGUAGAAGGAAAAGAAAUCAACCGAGAUCCCGUUAGUAGUGGUGAGCGAAAGCGGGUUAGCCUAUUUUCUAGCCUAAUGGAUUUAUUCCAUUGGGUAAGUUCUUCUUUAGAAGAAUUUAGAUUAGCUUAUAAUUUGUUUGGAAUGACAAACCAUAGAGGGUGAAAGUCUCCCGUAAUAAGAUAAACUAGAAAAAUAGUAAGUAAGAUGAGAGAUAACUUGUCUGAAUAUAGGGGAACCAUCCUCUAAGGCUAAAUAUGAUGUAUUGAGCGAUAGUGAAGAGUACCGUGAGGGAAAGUUGAAAAGUAAGUAGGUAACUGGUGAAAAGAUCCUGAACCGGUAGUUCUAUAAGCAGCAGGAAUCUGAGUUUAAAUACAAGAUAACUGCGUACCUUUUGCAUAAUGGGUCAGCGAGUUAAUCUGUGGUGCAAGUAGAAAUACUUAGCGAAAGCGACUACGUUAAAUGGGUAAGUACCAUGGAUUAGACCCGAAACCAGGUGAUCUUACCAUGACCAGGUCAUUAAGGACCGAACCAGUGCCUGUGGCAAUAGGCUUGGAUGAGUUGUGGUAAGUGGCGAAAGGCCAAUCUAACCUGGAGAUAGCUGGUAUUCCGCGAAACAUAUUUUGGUAUGUUGUCCUUCGUAUCUGUAAACUGGUACAGCACUGGAUACUAUGUCCCUUGUGGACUUGAUUGGGGGGUCGUGAUGGCUCUAUCAAUAGAAUCGGUUAUUUAACCGAUUCCCAAACAUUUAUUGUUUGGGAAUCUAACCUCGGAAUGGUUUACAGUUAAUAAAGGACGGUCAGACUAUAGGUGCUAAGGUCUUUAGUCGAGAGGGAAACAGCCCAGAACAAGAAUUAAGGUCCCUAAAUACUACUAAGUGAAAUUAAGGUAGUCCAUGAAAUUACACAACCAUUCGGUGGGCUUGGAAGCAGCCAUCCGUUAAUGAAAGCGUAAUAGCUCAAUGGUCUGUAUUUAUAAGAACUUCUCCUUUGGAGAUAGUUUAGCGGACGGCGCUACGCGCCGGCCGGGGUUUCAAGGGCACCGACAAUGUAUCGGGUCUAAGUAGUAUACCGAGAUCUUGUCCCAACAUUAUAAAGAAUGUAGGAGGGUAGCGGAACACUCAGGACAUGGUUGAAGGAUAGGGUUUCCUUAUCUGGACAUAACUGAGGAGAGAAUGCUGACAUGAGUAACGUAAAAGUGGAUAAAAUCCCACUCGCCGAAAGCAGAAGGGUUUCAUGGCUAGGCUCAACCUCCAUGAGUAAAGUAACGGCCUCUAAGAUUUUUAAAGCGAGGGCGCCUCGGCGCCCAAGUCAGGUCGGGGAAACCCGGCCGGGCUCUAUAUGAGUGAACUCCGAUAGGAGUAAUCGAUGAGAAAAACUAAUUUAGAUAACAGUUUUAAUAUUAAUCUAUAUCAGUAAUGGUGUAGUAUUAGUUUAAAAUUCAGGAAAUGAUCUAAUUAUUUAACCGUACCCUAAACCGACACUGGUCUGCUGGUAGAAUAUACCAAGGCGUUGAGCGAAUCAUCUUGAAGGAACUCGGCAAAAUGACUCCGUAACUUCGGGAGAAGGAGUACGAAUUUUUAUGAUCGUGGCACAGAAUAGAAGAGUACGACUGUUUACUUAAAACACCGGUCUUUGCUAAUAGGAAACUAGAUGUAUAAAGACUGAUACCUGCUCAGUGCUGGUAAGUCAAGAGAGGCACUAAUACGGUGCUGAUUGAACCUCCAGUAAACAGCGGUUGUAACUAUAACGAUCCUCAGGUAGCUCCAAUUAAAGGAGAAGAAUAAUUAUUCGCUGCCCCUGACAUAAGUGAUUAUGUCUUGAACCUAACUAUAUGCUGGAAAAUCCUUAGAGUCUUUAAUACUAGUGAUCAUUGAUUACAGUGACAAUUUAAAGAAUUGGACAAUCAGCAGGGAAGUCGUUGUUGACCCCUCAGAGACUACACGUUGGGGAUCUGUUUACAAUAAGUAAUCUUAAUCAUAUAAGUAAGGUAUAUCUUACCUUACAUUAAACCAUAUUAUUAAAUAGUCGCAAGGGAGAUACUAAUGACUCGGCCCUAUAAAUUAUAAUUAUGUAUACAAAUAAAUUAUAUGAUUCUAAAAUUCUUAACCCACAUUGGGUAUUAGGUUUUGUGGAUGGUGAAGGAUGUUUUCAUGUAAGUGUAUCAAAAAAUAAUAACACUUCAUUAGGAUAUCAAGUAACAUUAGAAUUUACUAUUUCACAACACAUUCGAGAUAAAGAAUUAAUGAUGAAAUUAAUUAAGUUUUUUGGAUGUGGUUAUGUCACACAGACUACAUCUAACCAUUUACAAUUUCGUAUUAGAAAUAGAAAUGAUUUAAGAACUAAAUUAUAUCCAUUUUUUGAUAUUUAUCCACCACUAACUAUUAAGUCUUUAGAUUAUUUAGAUUUUAAAUUGGUUCAUUCAAUGUUAGAUGAUAAACUUCAUUUAACUCAAGAAGGGUUAGAUAAGAUUAGAACUAUUCAAACUAGAAUGAAUCGAAAUAGAAAUUAAACAGAUCAUGAUAUAGUCCAAGCCACAUUGAAAGAUGUGGACCCAGGAUAACAACGGCCUUAUUCUUAAUUGAGUGGGGCUCCGUUGUUUAUCCGACAUUUAUUGCGUGGAAUUUGAGCGAAAUACCUUGGCCACUAAUUAUGGUCGCGCAUGAAUGGUUUAACGAUACUCUUACUGUCUCCAAGAUGAGCUCAGUGAAAUUGAAUUAUCCGUGCAGAUGCGGAUUACCAUUAGCUAGACGGGAAGACCCUAUGCAGCUUUACUGUAGUUAGUCAUUGUGUGCUUAUAAUUAAGGUGUAGAAUACAAGGGAGUCGAUUAGACAUCAGUGAAAUACCUUGACUUGAUUAGGAGCACGCUAUACGGAAUUAUUCCGGACAGUGAUUAAUGGGCAGUUUAUCUGGGGCGGAUUUCUCCCAUAUAGUACCGGAGAAGUACAAAGGUCGGCUUAAAUUGGAUGGAAACCAAUGGGUUAAAGAGAACCUAAUUAAGUGUAAUGGCAUAAGCCGGCUUAACUGUAAGACUGACAAGUCAUACAGAUACGCAAGUAGGUCAUAGUGAUCCGGUGGUCCAUUAUGGAAUGGCCAUCGCUCAACGAAUAAAAGCUACGCUAGGGAUAACAGGCUGAUCAAUCUCGAGAGUCCAUAUUGACAGAUUGGUUUGGCACCUCAAAAAAAACAUCGGGGAGUCUCGGUGGUAACACUGAGAUAGACUUUGGCUG